UACGUAGGGGGCAAGCGUUGUCCGGAAUUAUUGGGCGUAAAGCGCGCGCAGGCGGUCAUUUAAGUCUGGUGUUUAAGCCCGGGGCUCAACCCCGGUACGCACUGGAAACUGGGUGACUGGAGUGCAGGAGAGGGGAGUGGAAUUCCACGUGUAGCGGUGAAAUGCGUAGAUAUGUGGAGGAACACCAGUGGCGAAGGCGACUCUCUGGCCUGUAACUGACGCUGAGGCGCGAAAGCGUGGGGAGCAAACAGG
Molecule: ribosomal RNA, 252 nt
Filed under: uncultured bacterium
Lineage: Bacteria
Description: partial 16S ribosomal RNA
Rfam family: Bacterial small subunit ribosomal RNA
Source: RNAcentral